This 486-nucleotide ribosomal RNA is filed under the name uncultured bacterium. RNAcentral describes it as "bacterial SSU rRNA". It matches the Rfam family "Bacterial small subunit ribosomal RNA", at positions 30 to 506 of the family's 1533-position model. The record is from RNAcentral.
AUUGAACGCUGGCGGCAUGCCUUACACAUGCAAGUCGAACGGCAGCACGGGAGCAGUCCUGGUGGCGAGUGGCGAACGGGUGAGUAAUAUAUCGGAACGUGCCCAGUCGUGGGGGAUAACGUAGCGAAAGCUACGCUAAUACCGCAUACGAUCUAUGGAUGAAAGCGGGGGAUCGCAAGACCUCGCGCGAUUGGAGCGGCCGAUAUCAGAUUAGGUAGUUGGUGGGGUAAAAGCCUACCAAGCCUUCGAUCUGUAGCUGGUCUGAGAGGACGACCAGCCACACUGGAACUGAGACACGGUUCAGACUCCUACGGGAGGCAGCAGUGGGGAAUUUUGGACAAUGGGCGCAAGCCUGAUCCAGCAAUGCCGCGUGCAGGAUGAGGGCCUUCGGGUUGUAAACUGCUUUGUACGGUAACGAAACGGUUACGUCUCUAAUACAGGGGCGUAAUGACGGUACCGUAAGAAUAAGACACCGGCUAACUACGU